AUUGAACGCUGGCGGAAUGCUUUACACAUGCAAGUCGAGCGGCAGCGCGGGGCAACCUGGCGGCGAGCGGCGAACGGGUGAGUAAUGCAUCGGAACAUGUCCAUGUCGUGGGGGAUAGCCCGGCGAAAGCCGGAUUAAUACCGCAUACGCCCGAGAGGGGAAAGUGGGGACCGCAAGGCCUCACGCGAUUGGGUUGGCCGAUGUCCGAUUAGCUAGUUGGCGGGGUAANGGCCCACCAAGGCGAUGAUCGGUAGCUGGUCUGAGAGGAUGAUCAGCCACACUGGGACUGAGACACGGCCCAGACUCCUACGGAGGCAGCAGUGGGAAUUUGGACGAUGGGGGCAACCCUGAUCCAGCCAUUCCGCGUGAGUGAAGAAGG
RNAcentral lists this ribosomal RNA (379 nucleotides) under uncultured bacterium. RNAcentral's name for it is "bacterial SSU rRNA". It matches the Rfam family "Bacterial small subunit ribosomal RNA", at positions 29 to 414 of the family's 1533-position model. The record is from RNAcentral.